This 398-nucleotide ribosomal RNA is filed under the name uncultured bacterium. RNAcentral describes it as "bacterial SSU rRNA". It matches the Rfam family "Bacterial small subunit ribosomal RNA", at positions 362 to 776 of the family's 1533-position model. The record is from RNAcentral.
UAUUGCACAAUGGGGGAAACCCUGAUGCAGUGACACCGCGUAUAGGAAGAAGGUCUUCGGAUUGUAAAUUACUUUAGACAGGGAAGAAAAAAGACAGUACCUGUAGAAUAAGCUACGGCUAACUACGUGCCAGCAGCCGCGGUAAUACGUAGGGAGCAAGCGUUAUCCGGAAUUAUUGGGUGUAAAGGGUGCGUAGACGGGACAGCAAGUUAGUUGUGAAAGCCCUCGGCUUAACUGAGGAACUGCAACUAAAACUAUUGUUCUUGAGUGCAGGAGAGGAAAGCGGAAUUCCUAGUGUAGCGGUGAAAUGCGUAGAUAUUAGGAGGAACACCAGUGGCGAAAGCGGCUUUCUGGACUGUAACUGACGUUGAGGCACGAAAGUGUGGGGAGCAAACAGG